Molecule: ribosomal RNA, 260 nt
Filed under: uncultured bacterium
Lineage: Bacteria
Description: partial 16S ribosomal RNA
Rfam family: Bacterial small subunit ribosomal RNA
Source: RNAcentral
UACGUAGGGUGCAAGCGUUGUCCGGAAUUAUUGGGCGUAAAGAGCUCGUAGGCGGUUUGUCGCGUCGGCUGUGAAAACUUGGGGCUCAACCCCAAGCCUGCAGUCGAUACGGGCAGACUAGAGUGUGGUAGGGGAGACUGGAAUUCCCGGUGUAGCGGUGAAAUGCGCAGAUAUCAGGAGGAACACCGGUGGCGAAGGCGGGUCUCUGGGCCAUAACUGACGCUGAGGAGCGAAAGCGUGGGGAGCGAACAGGAUUAGAA